AAAAAUGAAGACGGGACAUUUUGAAAUAGUCACCAUGCUGCUGGCAACCAUGAUUCUAGUGGACAUUUUCCAGGUGAGAAAAACUGGAAGCUUGAAGACCAUGGUGAGAAAAACCAGAAGCUUGAAGACCAUGGUGUGAAAAUCCUUGAACCCACCCAAAUACCUGCUCCAGGUCCAGUUCCUGUUCCAGGUCCCAAAAGCCAUCCUUCUGCAUCCUUGGGCAAACUGCUGCUUCCACAGUUUGGGAUGGUCAUCAUUUUAAUCAGUGUUUCUGCUAUAAAUCUCUUUGUUGCUCUGUAGUUUGAUGCAUUGUUUAUC
RNAcentral lists this small RNA (318 nucleotides) under Pan troglodytes (chimpanzee). Its description in RNAcentral is "processed transcript". The record is from RNAcentral. Lineage: Eukaryota; Metazoa; Chordata; Mammalia; Primates; Hominidae.